This 201-nucleotide ribosomal RNA is filed under the name uncultured bacterium. RNAcentral's name for it is "partial 16S ribosomal RNA". It matches the Rfam family "Bacterial small subunit ribosomal RNA", at positions 524 to 723 of the family's 1533-position model. The record is from RNAcentral.
UACGUAGGGUGCAAGCGUUGUCCGGAAUUAUUGGGCGUAAAGAGCUCGUAGGCGGUCUGUCGCGUCUGCUGUGAAAACUCAGGGCUUAACCCUGAGCUUGCAGUGGGUACGGGCAGACUAGAGUGCGGUAGGGGAGACUGGAAUUCCUGGUGUAGCGGUGAAAUGCGCAGAUAUCAGGAGGAACACCGGUGGGCGAAGGCG